This 434-nucleotide ribosomal RNA is filed under the name uncultured bacterium. RNAcentral's name for it is "bacterial SSU rRNA". It matches the Rfam family "Bacterial small subunit ribosomal RNA", at positions 30 to 486 of the family's 1533-position model. The record is from RNAcentral.
AUUGAACGCUGGCGGUAUGCCUUACACAUGCAAGUCGAACGGCAGCACGGGAGCAAUCCUGGUGGCGAGUGGCGAACGGGUGAGUAAUGCCUAGGAAUCUGCCUAGUGGUGGGGAUAACGUUCGGAAACGGACGCUAAUACCGCAUACGUCCUACGGGAGAAAGCGGGGGAUCUUCGGACCUCGCGCCAUUAGAUGAGCCUAGGUCGGAUUAGCUAGUUGGUGAGGUAAUGGCUCACCAAGGCGACGAUCCGUAACUGGUCUGAGAGGAUGAUCAGUCACACUGGAACUGAGACACGGUCCAGACUCCUACGGGAGGCAGCAGUGGGGAAUAUUGGACAAUGGGCGCAAGCCUGAUCCAGCAAUGCCGCGUGAGUGAUGAAGGCCUCGGUGUAAGACNCUUUACCUACGUACGAUGAUGACGGUAGUAGGAGAA